GAAUAUUGCGCAAUGGGGGAAACCCUGACGCAGCAACGCCGCGUGGAGGAUGAAGGCCUUCGGGUCGUAAACUCCUGUCAGGUGGGAAGAAUAGGUUGCAACUAAGAAUUGCAACUGUUGCCGGUACCACCAGAGGAAGCCCCGCCUAACGCCGUGCCAGCAGCCGCGGUAAUACGGAGGGGGCAAGCGUUAUUCGGAAUCAUUGGGCGUAAAGGGCGCGUAGGCGGCCUGGCAAGUCAAAGGUGAAAUCCCUCGGCCCAACCGAGGAACCGCCUUUGAAACUGCAAGGCUCGAGGCCGGGAGAGGGUAGCGGAAUUCCCAGUGUAGCGGUGAAAUGCGUAGAUAUUGGGAGGAACACCAGUGGCGAAGGCGGCUACCUGGACCGGUUCUGACGCUGAGGCGCGAAAGCGUGGGGAGCAAACAG
Molecule: ribosomal RNA, 424 nt
Filed under: uncultured bacterium
Lineage: Bacteria
Description: bacterial SSU rRNA
Rfam family: Bacterial small subunit ribosomal RNA
Source: RNAcentral